GCCGGAGUGGUGAAAUGGCAGACACAGCAGACUCAAAAUCUGCCGCCCCUAAAGCGUGAGGGUUCGAGUCCCUCCUCCGGCACCA
RNAcentral lists this transfer RNA (85 nucleotides) under Kiritimatiellia bacterium. Its description in RNAcentral is "Kiritimatiellae bacterium (gut metagenome) tRNA-Leu". It matches the Rfam family "tRNA". From Rfam's summary of the family: Transfer RNA (tRNA) molecules are approximately 80 nucleotides in length. Their secondary structure includes four short double-helical elements and three loops (D, anti-codon, and T loops). Lineage: Bacteria; Pseudomonadati; Kiritimatiellota; Kiritimatiellia. The record is from RNAcentral.